Molecule: transfer RNA, 81 nt
Filed under: Tremella mesenterica DSM 1558
Lineage: Eukaryota; Fungi; Basidiomycota; Tremellomycetes; Tremellales; Tremellaceae
Description: tRNA-Ser (GCT) (tRNA-Ser-GCT-1-1)
Rfam family: tRNA
About the family: Transfer RNA (tRNA) molecules are approximately 80 nucleotides in length.
Source: RNAcentral
GACACUUUGGCCGAGUGGUUAAGGCGAUCGCUUGCUAAGCGGUUGGGUUUUCCCGCGUGUGUUCGAACCACACAGGUGUCG